This 474-nucleotide ribosomal RNA is filed under the name uncultured bacterium. RNAcentral describes it as "partial 16S ribosomal RNA". It matches the Rfam family "Bacterial small subunit ribosomal RNA", at positions 28 to 523 of the family's 1533-position model. The record is from RNAcentral.
GACGAACGCUGGCGGCGUGCCUAACACAUGCAAGUCGGACGGAUCAGGGAUGACAGCUUGCUGUAGUUCCUGGUUAGUGGCGGACGGGUGAGUAACGCGUGAGGACCUACCCUGGAGAGGGGGAUAACGGCUGGAAACGGCUGCUAAUACCCCGUAAGCCGGAGGGUGAAAGGGAGCGAUCUGCUCCGGGGCGGCCUUGCGUCCUAUCAGCUAGUUGGUGGGGUAAUGGCCUACCAAGGUGAAGACGGUGAGCCGGCCUGAGAGGGCGAACGGCAACACUGGAACUGAGACACGGUCCAGACUCCUACGGGAGGCAGCAGUGGGGAAUAUUGGGCAAUGGGGGCAACCCUGACCCAGCGACGCCGCGUGAGGGACGAAGUCCUUCGGGAUGUAAACCUCUGUUGUGGGGGAAGAAGCGAGUGACGGUACCUCACGAGGAAGCCCCGGCAAACUACGUGCCAGCCGCCGCGGUAA